CGGGGUGAGUAAUGUCUGGGAAACUGCCUGAUGGAGGGGGAUAACUGCUGGAAACGGUAGCUAAUACCGCAUAACGUCGCAAGACCAAAGAGGGGGACCUUCGGGCCUCCUGCCAUCGGAUGUGCCCAGAUGGGAUUAGCUAGUAGGUGGGGUAACGGCUCACCUAGGCGACGAUCCCUAGCUGGUCUGAGAGGAUGCCAGCCACACUGGAACUGAGACACGGUCCAG
Molecule: ribosomal RNA, 228 nt
Filed under: uncultured bacterium
Lineage: Bacteria
Description: partial 16S ribosomal RNA
Rfam family: Bacterial small subunit ribosomal RNA
Source: RNAcentral